UACGGGGGGGGCAAGCGUUGUUCGGAAUUAUUGGGCGUAAAGAGCUCGUAGGCGGUUCGGUAAGUCAGCUGUGAAAUCUCCACGCUCAACGUGGAGGGGUCAGCUGAUACCGCCGUGACUUGAGUCUGGUAGGGGAGUGCGGAAUUCCCGGUGUAGCGGUGAAAUGCGCAGAUAUCGGGAGGAACACCAGUGGCGAAGGCGGCACUCUGGGCCAGUACUGACGCUGAGGAGCGAAAGCGUGGGGAGCGAACAGG
This 254-nucleotide ribosomal RNA is filed under the name uncultured bacterium. RNAcentral's name for it is "partial 16S ribosomal RNA". It matches the Rfam family "Bacterial small subunit ribosomal RNA", at positions 524 to 776 of the family's 1533-position model. The record is from RNAcentral.